GACUUUGAGAGUUCCGCUUAUGGCUGCAGGGUCAACCAAUUUGUUGUUGGGACCCUGGAGCUGAAUGGCUUUCCUGUCUGUCGAUCCUUGGCUCAGCCCAGAAGUACAGGAAAAGCGGAAGCUGGUUCCAGACAAACCAACGCUCUCAACUCUGAAGAGUCAGGAGUUGUUAGAGAGCCUUUUCUCAGAAAGCCUGACACCCGUGUCUUUAGUCUGGCAUCCAUGCUAGUCACUUUUAACUGGCCAAUAGGUGCCUGGUAUUUAGUCCCCAAAUUCUAAGGAAAAAUAAGACAGAAUAGCAAGCAAAAGGGGUCUGAUGGUACUCACCACUUGGUGAUAGGCGACAGUCCCAUCUGGGUCACCAAAAUAUGUCUGGAAUUGGUUCCUUCCAGUGGGUUCUUGGUCUCACUGACUUCAAGAAUGAAGCCGCGGACCCUCGCACAUGAUUGUGAGGCCUCCCCACCCACAUGGAAUGCUAUGUGAAGAUUGUGCCUGCUUCCUCUUUGCCUUCCACCAUGAUUGGAAGUUUCCUGAGACCUUCCCAGCAGCAGAAGCCUAUACAGUCUGCAGAACUGUGAGCAGAUUAAACCUCUUUUCUUAAUAAAUUACCCAGUCUCAGAGUUCCCCAGCUAUCCCCCAGUGGCUUGGAGAUUCCCAUUUCAAGAGUGUAGAGUUCUACCCAGAAGGUGGCUGCGUGGACAGUGACUACAUUCUCAGCUCCAUGCCUAUUUGGAUGGUCUGAGGCCUUCACUCCUCACCCUUCCUGGAUGUGGUUGCGCCAGAGGGGAUGAUUUAGUGAGCAGAUGGUACCAGGAAAACCAAGGGUAUUGCAUCCAGCUGUGUGUACACAGAUUGGUGAAUUCAAGCCUCUGAUCUAGGAUCUGAAAUAAAAAUCAGAAUAAGCGAAAA
This 909-nucleotide long non-coding RNA is filed under the name Homo sapiens (human). RNAcentral's name for it is "long independently transcribed non-coding RNA 2932, transcript variant 3 (LINC02932)". The record is from RNAcentral. Lineage: Eukaryota; Metazoa; Chordata; Mammalia; Primates; Hominidae.